RNAcentral lists this ribosomal RNA (639 nucleotides) under uncultured bacterium. RNAcentral describes it as "bacterial SSU rRNA". It matches the Rfam family "Bacterial small subunit ribosomal RNA", at positions 45 to 660 of the family's 1533-position model. The record is from RNAcentral.
UGCUUAACACAUGCAAGUCUUACGAGAAAGUCCACUUCGGUGGAUGAGUACAGUGGCGCACGGGUGAGUAACACGUGGAUAAUCUGCCCUUCAGUCGGGAAUAACUCAUCGAAAGAUGGGAUAAUACUCGAUGAUGCCUGUCCGUUUCGACGGAUUUGCCAAAGGUGGCCUCUCCUUGGAAGCUACCGCUGAGGGAUGAGUUCGCGCACCAUUAGCUUGUUGGUGGGGUAAUGGCCUACCAAGGCGACGAUGGUUAGCUGGUCUUAGAGGACGAUCAGCCACACUGGAACUGAGACACGGUCCAGACUCCUACGGGAGGCAGCAGUGAGGAAUUUUGCGCAAUGGGGGAAACCCUGACGCAGCGACGCCGCGUGAGUGAGGAAGGCCUUCGGGUCGUAAAGCUCUGUCAGGUGGGAAGAAAUGUUUGAUGGCUAAUAUCUGUCAUGCUUGACGGUACCACCAGAGGAAGCACCGGCAAACUCCGUGCCAGCAGCCGCGGUAAUACGGGGGGUGCAAGCGUUGUUCGGAAUUAUUGGGCGUAAAGCGCGUGUAGGCGGCUGAGUAAGUCAGAUGUGAAAGCCCUGGGCUCAACCCAGGAAGUGCAUUUGAUACUGCUCAGCUAGAGUAGGGGAGAGGAAA